This is a long non-coding RNA of Neodiprion fabricii, 568 nucleotides long. RefSeq lists it as uncharacterized. NCBI's taxonomy places the organism in Eukaryota, Metazoa, Arthropoda, Insecta, Hymenoptera, Diprionidae. The record is from RefSeq and is a predicted model, not a curated record. The transcript is spliced from 2 exons.
UUCUAGGCCAUCGCCGUUUUGUUGGGUUUAUCAAUCUUUUAUGCGACUUUACUCGAAUAUCAACGUAAUUUGAAUAUCUCCCGACUUUCUUGUUGGACUUCCAAAGUCUGACACCUCGUGAACGUCAUCCUACGAAUACACAGAUGUAAUGUGCAUACUACAUGGAAAACAAUUCAAGUUCAAGCAGCAUCGAUCAGUUACAGAUAACGAAUAACGCGUGAUACAAGACAUUGACGAUUUUGAUAAAUGUUACGGUGCAUAUUUUGGCUGAGGCGAGAGGAACGGCGACGGUCCAUUGUAAAACCGCCUAUGUAAAACUGUGUAGGCGAUCCCAAGAUGUGGCGAUCACGACUCCAAUACCAAAUACGCAAGCGGCGCUGGCGAAGGAACGUUGUACGAAUGUGUAAUAUGGCCGGAGGGGGGGUAUGAAACCUUGUGCCCUGCAUUAUGCAUAUCCAUGUGACUCGGGAAACGGCUUAAUUAAUUAUGCACGGCACGAUAGAGCGCGACGCGAAGGACAACCGAGCCUUUCUUUGACGGAUAAGCGGUCGACCUACGCUGAGUGCGA